RNAcentral lists this transfer RNA (73 nucleotides) under Paramuricea clavata. It matches the Rfam family "tRNA". Rfam says of the family: Transfer RNA (tRNA) molecules are approximately 80 nucleotides in length. Their secondary structure includes four short double-helical elements and three loops (D, anti-codon, and T loops). Lineage: Eukaryota; Metazoa; Cnidaria; Anthozoa; Malacalcyonacea; Plexauridae. The record is from Rfam by way of RNAcentral.
GCCCGGUUAGCUCAGUUGGUAGAGCAUCAGACUGUUAAUCUGAGGGCCAUGGGUUCGAGUCCUUUAUCGGGCU